GAUGAACGCUGGCGGCGUGCCUAAUACAUGCCAGUCGAGCGAACAGACGAGGAGCUUGCUCCUCUGACGUUAGCGGCGGACGGGUGAGUAACACGUGGAUAACCUACCUAUAAGACUGGGAUAACUUCGGGAAACCGGAGCUAAUACCGGAUAAUAUAUUGAACCGCAUGGUUCAAUAGUGAAAGACGGUUUUGCUGUCACUUAUAGAUGGAUCCGCGCCGCAUUAGCUAGUUGGUAAGGUAACGGCUUACCAAGGCAACGAUGCGUAGCCGACCUGAGAGGGUGAUCGGCCACACUGGAACUGAGACACGGUCCAGACUCCUACGGGAGGCAGCAGUAGGGAAUCUUCCGCAAUGGGCGAAAGCCUGACGGAGCAACGCCGCGUGAGUAAUGAAGGUCUUCGGAUCGUAAAACUCUGUUAUUAGGGAAGAACAAAUGUGUAAGUAACUAUGCACGUCUUGACGGUACCUAAUCAGAAAGCCACGGCUAACUACGUG
RNAcentral lists this ribosomal RNA (497 nucleotides) under uncultured bacterium. RNAcentral describes it as "partial 16S ribosomal RNA". It matches the Rfam family "Bacterial small subunit ribosomal RNA", at positions 28 to 507 of the family's 1533-position model. The record is from RNAcentral.